UACGAAGGGGGCUAGCUUUGUUCGGAAUUACUGGGCGUAAAGCGCGCGCAGGUGGUCUUUCAAGUCAGUGGUGAAAGCCCGGAGCUCAACUCCGGAAAUGCCAUUGAAACUGUGAGACUUGAGGACGAGAGAGGUGAGUGGAAUUCCCAGUGUAGAGGUGAAAUUCGUAGAUAUUGGGAAGAACACCGGUGGCGAAGGCGGCUCACUGGCUCGUAUCUGACGCUCAGGCGCGACAGCGUGGGGAUCAAACAGG
This 253-nucleotide ribosomal RNA is filed under the name uncultured bacterium. RNAcentral describes it as "partial 16S ribosomal RNA". It matches the Rfam family "Bacterial small subunit ribosomal RNA", at positions 524 to 776 of the family's 1533-position model. The record is from RNAcentral.